Molecule: ribosomal RNA, 770 nt
Filed under: uncultured archaeon
Lineage: Archaea
Description: bacterial SSU rRNA
Rfam family: Archaeal small subunit ribosomal RNA
Source: RNAcentral
CUCAGUAACACGUGGAUAACUUACCCUUAGGACUGGAAUAACCCCGGGAAACUGGGGAUAAUACCAGAUAAGCCAUAGACGCUGGAAUGCCCUAUGGUUCAAAGCUCCGGCGCCUAAGGAUGGAUCUGCGGUCUAUCAGGUUGUAGUGGGUGUAACGUACCUACUAGCCGACGACGGAUACGGGUUGUGAGAGCAAGAGCCCGGAGAUGGAUUCUGAGACACGAAUCCAGGCCCUACGGGGUGCAGCAGGCGCGAACACUUUACAAUGCGGGAAACCGCGAUAAGGGAACCCCGAGUGCCAGCAUCAAAUGUUGGCUGUCCAGAUGGUUAAAAAUCAUUUGUUAGCAAGGGCCGGGCAAGACCGGUGCCAGCCGCCGCGGUAACACCGGCGGCCCGAGUGGUAGCCGUUUUUAUUGGGUCUAAAGGGUCCGUAGCCGGCCUGAUAAGUCCUUUGGGAAAUCUGACAGCUUAACUGUCAGGCUUCUAAGGGAUACUGUCAGGCUUAGGACCGGAAGAGGUAAGGGGUACUCCAGGGGUAGGAGUGAAAUCUUGUAAUCCCUGGGGGACCAUCUGUGGCGAAGGCGCCUUACCAGAACGGGUCCGACGGUGAGGGACGAAAGCUAGGGGAGCAAACCGGAUUAGAUACCCGGGUAGUCCUAGCUGUAAACGAUGCUCGCUAGGUGUCAGACACGGUGCGACCGUGUUUGGUGCCGCAGGGAAGCCGUUAAGCGAGCCACCUGGGAAGUACGGUCGCAAGGCUGAAACUAAAG